AACGAACGCUGGCGGCAGGCUUAACACAUGCAAGUCGAGCGAGACCUUCGGGUCUAGCGGCGGACGGGUGAGUAACGCGUGGGAACGUGCCCUUCUCUACGGAAUAGCCCCGGGAAACUGGGAGUAAUACCGUAUACGCCCUUUGGGGGAAAGAUUUAUCGGAGAAGGAUCGGCCCGCGUUGGAUUAGGUAGUUGGUGGGGUAAUGGCCCACCAAGCCGACGAUCCAUAGCUGGUUUGAGAGGAUGAUCAGCCACACUGGGACUGAGACACGGCCCAGACUCCGACGGGAGGCAGCAGUGGGGAAUUUUAAACAGGGGGGGCAACCCUGAUCUACCCAGGCCGGGUGAGUUAAUAAGGCUUUGGGUUUGGAAAGCUCUUUCAGCUGGGAAGAUAAGGAGGGAACCAGCAGAAGAAGCCCCGGCUAACCCCGU
This 432-nucleotide ribosomal RNA is filed under the name uncultured bacterium. Its description in RNAcentral is "partial 16S ribosomal RNA". It matches the Rfam family "Bacterial small subunit ribosomal RNA", at positions 29 to 506 of the family's 1533-position model. The record is from RNAcentral.